UGGGGGGUGGUGAAAUGGCAUCACGUCGUCCUUUGGAGUCGAAGUUGAAGGUUCGAUACCUUCCCCCCCAGCCA
RNAcentral lists this transfer RNA (74 nucleotides) under Euzebya pacifica. Its description in RNAcentral is "Euzebya sp. DY32-46 tRNA-Gln". It matches the Rfam family "tRNA". From Rfam's summary of the family: Transfer RNA (tRNA) molecules are approximately 80 nucleotides in length. Their secondary structure includes four short double-helical elements and three loops (D, anti-codon, and T loops). Further hydrogen bonds mediate the characteristic L-shaped molecular structure. tRNAs have two regions of fundamental functional importance: the anti-codon, which is responsible for specific mRNA codon recognition, and the 3' end, to which the tRNAs corresponding amino acid is attached (by aminoacyl-tRNA synthetases). tRNAs cope with the degeneracy of the genetic code in two manners: having more than one tRNA (with a specific anti-codon) for a particular amino acid; and 'wobble' base-pairing, i.e. permitting non-standard base-pairing at the 3rd anti-codon position. The record is from RNAcentral. Lineage: Bacteria; Bacillati; Actinomycetota; Nitriliruptoria; Euzebyales; Euzebyaceae. RNAcentral also lists the same sequence under 4 other names.